Long non-coding RNA from Megalopta genalis, 1089 nucleotides. RefSeq lists it as uncharacterized. The record is from RefSeq and is a predicted model, not a curated record. NCBI's taxonomy places the organism in Eukaryota, Metazoa, Arthropoda, Insecta, Hymenoptera, Halictidae.
AUAUAGGAAUACAGUACACAUUUUGAUCUUUUUUCUCAUUAUGUAUUAGUUUUAUUCUAAUUAUACAAUAAUGUGUGAAUUUCUUAAAAAAUGCGAUACACAGAAUAAGAAAGGUUCAAUGGAUAUUUACAAUGUUAACGUUAUACAACAUGUUAUAUAUAUAUUUCAGUCCACUUAUGUUUCUUUCUUUAAUUUAGGUAUGGUUUUUAUAUACAAUGUCUAAAAAAGAUUUUGUAAUUUAUAUAAUUCGUAUUAAGAAUUCAAUAGAAUUGUGCAUCGGCCAAUUUUUGCGUUAACAUAACCCUGUUAAUUUAGUGACAAAAAAGAAACAACUGAUAAAACAAAUUGAUAACAGCGAAGAUCCAGCUCCUCCUGAAACAAUUAACUGCUAUAGACAAUAUAAGCGGCAGCAAUGUAGCUCUGUUGACAUGAAAAAGAAGAAAUUAACAAUGAAUAAAGCUAAAAUACUGAAAGAAGACACAACUCGUCAGGAUACUAGGAACAAAGCAUAGAGUCUUAACAAGUGUGGAAGAAAGCUAAUCAUAUUAACUUUAUAAAAAGUUAUUUCAGCAGAUUGAAGGUAUAUCUGAAACGUAGAAGCCGAACGCGCCCUUCGGAAUAUCCUUCUCUGUGGCCGCAUAGGGUGCACGAAACGAUACAAUCUCAGCACGGGGCGAAAUCCACGAUCCCAAAUCACGUUUGCAACUAAUUUCAACUGGAAUCUUCUGCAUACAGCUUAUUUUUAUGGUCGUGGUGCGCUAACCUGCGUCCCGUCUUCAUUCUCACCCUCAAGCUCGAGCUUUUGCCGCUUUGCACGCUCGUUUUCGUUAUCCUCGCCGUUUUCGCGCGGUCUUGACACAGAUAGGCUAAAGCAUUUCAAACAAAAGUGUGAAACUGUAAAUUAAUGCGAUCACAUGUAACACGUUCUCGACGACACUAUAUUUCGUUGUAUACAUAUACAGCGUGUCCCGGGAUUUUCCGGACUAAUUGAGACAAAUUGAUCCAGAGGGCAAAAGAAGAAACAAAUGUUACAUGAAGUUCACGAACGAAUGCUUUUUUACGUAAGCGAAUAAUGUUUAAAUUCUCAUA